CAGUGUGAUCAUACCAGCACUAAUGCACCGGAUGCCAUCAGAACUCCGCAGUUAAGCGCGGUUGGGAGAGAGUAGUACUAGGAUGGGUGACCUCCUGGGAAGUACUCUUGUUGCAUCCU
This 119-nucleotide ribosomal RNA is filed under the name Cephalotus follicularis. The record is from RNAcentral. Lineage: Eukaryota; Viridiplantae; Streptophyta; Magnoliopsida; Oxalidales; Cephalotaceae.